CUCCUCUCUCUCGGUAUCCGGAGCCACGGGGGCAGUGAAGACGUCCAUCUUUGUGCCCACAUUCUCCAUGCAGCCCCUCUGCCCUGCCCUGUCCUUUGAUUCUCAGUGUGAAGCCAGCUGUUCUUGGAUCCAGACACAGAAGUGGAGCUCCUGUAUCCACGCCCUCGGGCUGCGCUGAGAGGCCGCCGCACCCCUGGGUGCAGCUAGAAAUGCAACAUGGGGAGCAGGCGGGGCUGGCACUCCCGCUGGGAUGCGCCCUCAGGGAUGCCAGAGCCCUGGGGCCCAGGGAGCCUCUCAGCCCCUCCUUCGGUCACCGUGGCCUCCAAGUGGCCACCAGCUGCUGACCUCCACCAAUGGCGUGCAGGGCCUGAGCUCUCCGAGGGAGCCCCGCCUCAGGGCAGAUCGUUCUGAGAGCAAACACGCUUCUCCAGACGGCCAGAGGGACCAUGGCUCGGAAGAGGCUCAGAGGCCCUGGUCUGGCCCCGUCUGCACCAAGCAGUGCCCGGUGGGCAGUGACCGGCCCAGGCGGGGCCGGGACAAUAGCCCACGUCUGCAUCUGCGGGCCUGCGGCGCCUGCCCCCCUCUCCCCUCCCUCCCCUCCCUCCCCGCG
Lagenorhynchus albirostris (white-beaked dolphin) is the source of this 610-nucleotide long non-coding RNA. RefSeq lists it as uncharacterized. NCBI's taxonomy places the organism in Eukaryota, Metazoa, Chordata, Mammalia, Artiodactyla, Delphinidae. The transcript is spliced from 3 exons. The record is from RefSeq and is a predicted model, not a curated record.